Long non-coding RNA from Cryptomeria japonica (Japanese cedar), 864 nucleotides. RefSeq lists it as uncharacterized. Lineage: Eukaryota; Viridiplantae; Streptophyta; Pinopsida; Cupressales; Cupressaceae. The transcript is spliced from 2 exons. The record is from RefSeq and is a predicted model, not a curated record.
CAGAUCCCUGGUUCGAAUACACCCUUUGUAAACACAUUCUACCGUUAAAAAACACGCUUCAUAGAUAGAUAUUGCAGCUGAAAAAAGCAUGCGACUAGUUAGAAUCCACCCGUUGAAAAUAAAACAUGCUACCGUUAAUGAACACGCUCCAUAGAUAGAUAUUACAGCUGAAAAAAGCAUGCUACCGUUAACAAAAACACGCUCCUAUUCCUUAACCCAUUAUAUAUAUGGCCAUUGAUUUAGAAGAAUACCUCAUCCGCAAUGUUCAGUAUUUCCCUGCGUAUAUUGAUUCUGAAUGUACUAGCUAUGCGGGCUCCUCUGGUUAUUGCUGCUUCAAGGCCAUAGUGAGCAUAGAGAUGAAAGAUUUUAGGGAACUGAAUUUAUAGAUUCUUGGUAUAGGGAUCAAUGCCCUUUCCUAUAGGGGUGAAUUUGCCAUUUGGUGUGCCCUAUCUGCGGAGGAAUGUUGUCUGAGGGAGUGAUGCCUCCAAUGCCUCAGAGGUCAUCCGCAUCACCAAUCAUGUGCGGAGGAAUGUUGACUUAUUUCGGAAAGGAGAACUAGUACAUAUAUUAGCUUAUUAUGGUAGCCGUGGACCAGCAAAAAUUGCAGAGGUAGAAGAAUGCUCAGCCAAUAUAAGGGAGGGCAGAAACCAUAUUACUGAAGCUUAAAUCUCUGAAAAUGGAAGCAUGUUGCAUGCAUUGUUGGAGAUGGUGUAGCUCCAGGAAGACAACAAUGUUGUGGAUAAUAUAAAGCAGGCAUUUAGAAAAUGGUUACUUAUGCUAAAAGUGGAGUGAAUUUUAAAAUAAAUUAAAAUUUGUUGUGAACUUGAAUUUAUAUAUAUUUAAUAGUAAUGUUAAUAUACAAAA